UCUAACAGUUCCAAAUUGUUUCCAUAGGCCCAAGCAAUGAAUGUUGUUGUAAAUCAGGAAAGCGAUCGUCGGAAUCUUGAUAAAUUAUCUACUUUACCGGAUUGCGUUACACACAGACAAAUCCUCAAGAAUCCGACUUGUUCUUACAUUCGAAGUAUUAUAACGGGUAAUAACAUCCUCGAAAAGAUACAGGAGAUAUAAGAGCAACGCUUAACGAACAAUAAAAGGAAAGAGUCUCUCUCUCUCUCUCUCUCUACACUCGCGCACACACGGUCUCUCAACUUUGAAAUGGUCAAGUUAAUUGAGACACUCUGUAUAAUCGAUAUAUUUUAUUCUUGUACUACAAGUGAAUAGUUUUAGAUAGUUAUAAAUAUUGAGUAGAUAAUAAAAUAAUGUACUGUAGUUUA
Non-coding RNA from Megalopta genalis, 407 nucleotides. The record is from RefSeq and is a predicted model, not a curated record. NCBI's taxonomy places the organism in Eukaryota, Metazoa, Arthropoda, Insecta, Hymenoptera, Halictidae.